ACCGCAUGUGACCGCAAGGUCAAAGUUGGGGAUCGUAAGACCUGACGCUUUGAGAUGAGGCUGCGGCCUAUCAGGUAGUUGGCGGGGUAAUGGCCCACCAAGCCUAAGACGGGUAGCUGGUCUGAGAGGACGACCAGCCACACUGGAACUGAGGCACGGUCCAGACACCUACGGGUGGCAGCAGUCGAGGAUUUUUCUCAAUGGGGGAAACCCUGAAGGAGCGACGCCGCGUGAGGGAUGAAGGUCUUCGGAUUGUAAACCUCUGUCAUCUGGGAACAAUGUGAUCUACCUAACACGUGGAUUAUUGAUAGUACCGGAAGAGGAAGCAGUGGCUAACUCUGUGCCAGCAGCCGCGGUAAUACAGAGACUGCAAGCGUUGUUCGGAUUCAUUGGGCGUAAAGGGUGCGCAGGCGGUCGGGUAAGUCGGAUGUGAAAUCUCACAGCCUAACUGUGAUAGGUCAUUCGAAACU
RNAcentral lists this ribosomal RNA (470 nucleotides) under uncultured bacterium. RNAcentral describes it as "bacterial SSU rRNA". It matches the Rfam family "Bacterial small subunit ribosomal RNA", at positions 168 to 634 of the family's 1533-position model. The record is from RNAcentral.